RNAcentral lists this ribosomal RNA (1465 nucleotides) under uncultured Bordetella sp. Its description in RNAcentral is "partial 16S-23S ribosomal RNA intergenic spacer". It matches the Rfam family "Bacterial small subunit ribosomal RNA". Lineage: Bacteria; Pseudomonadati; Pseudomonadota; Betaproteobacteria; Burkholderiales; Alcaligenaceae. The record is from RNAcentral.
GUUCGAUCCUGGCUCAGAUUGAACGCUGGCGGGAUGCUUUACACAUGCAAGUCGAACGGCAGCACGGACUUCGGUCUGGUGGCGAGUGGCGAACGGGUGAGUAAUGUAUCGGAACGUGCCUAGUAGCGGGGGAUAACUACGCGAAAGCGUAGCUAAUACCCGCAUACGCCCUUCGGGGGAAAGCAGGGGACCUUCGGGCCUCGCACUAUUAAACGGCCGAUAUCGGAUUAGCUAGUUGGUGGGGUAACGGCUCACCAAGGCGACGAUCAAUAGCUGGUUUGUAGAGAGGACGAUGACCACACUGGGACUACAGAGACACGGCCCAGACUCCUACGGGAGGCAGCAGUGAAAUUUUUGGACAAUGGGGAAACCACAGUCAGCCAUCCAGAAACAUUGCUGAUGAAGGCCUUCAGGUUGUAAAGCUGCUUUUGGCAGGAAAAAGCAGCGCGGGGAUAAUACCCCGUGCAACUGACUGACACCUGCAGAAUAAGCACCGGCUAACUACGUGCCAGCAGCCGCAGUAAUACGUAGGUGCAAGCGUUAAUCGGAAUUACUGGGCGUAAAGCGUGCGCAGGCGGUUCCGGAAGAAAGAUGUGAAAUCCCAGAGCUUAACUUUGGAACUGCAUUUUUAACUACCGAGGCUAGAGUGUGUCAGAGGAGGUGGAAUUCACGCGUGUAGCAGUGAAAUGCGUAGAUAUGCGAGAGGAACACCGAUGGCGAAGGCAGCCUCCUGGGAUAACACUGACGCUCAUGCACGAAGGCGUGGGAGCAAACGGGAUUAGAUACCCUGAUGUCCCGCCUCAACAGUGUCAACAACUGUUGGGGCCAGGCCACCGUAAAGCUGCAACUAACACCUGAGAGUUCGGACCAUGCCUAUGGAUCACAGUUGCAGAUUCAAACACUAAAAAAAUUGUGAAACCUACAUGAUAGUAUACAAAUUAAUUUGACCCUUACUCACAAAACUUUCCUACUCCAACAUAUCCAAAAUCCAGCAAUUUAGAAAAUUACUAAAAACCAAAAACGGCAUUUAAGCCUUUUACUUUUAUAAAUCACUCAUCUUGUAAAAAUAUUCAGGGUGAUUCAAUCCCUAUUUAGUUUACUCUUAUCGUAAUUCUACAUGACGCUCUCUCUUAUACAUUUCUGACUGAUAAACCGGAAGAUGGGAUGUACGUCAGUCCUCACGCCUAUGGGUGCGGCACGUCCAUACAAUGGUCAGAUAAGAGUCGCGCCAACCGCGGGUCAAUCUAGGAAACCGAUCGUAGUCAGUGCGUCUGCAACUCGGCUGCGUGAAGUCGGAAUGUUCAGUAAUCGCGGAUCGGCAUGUCGCGGUGAAUACGUUCCCGGGUCUUGUACACACCGCCCGUCACACCAUGGGAGUGGGUUUUACCGAAGUAGUUAGCCUAACCGUAAGGAGGGCGAUUACCACGGUAGGAUUCAUGACUGGGGUGAAGUCGUAACAAGGUAG